GAUGAACGCUGGCGGCGUGCCUAAUACAUGCAAGUCGAGCGAACAGAUGAGGAGCUUGCUCCUCUGACGUUAGCGGCGGACGGGUGAGUAACACGUGGAUAACCUACCUAUAAGACUGGGAUCACUUCGGGAAACCGGAGCUAAUACCGGAUAAUAUAUUGAACCGCAUGGUUCAAUAGUGAAAGACGGUUUUGCUGUCACUUAUAGAUGGAUCCGCGCCGCAUUAGCUAGUUGGUAAGGUAACGGCUUACCAAGGCAACGAUGCGUAGCCGACCUGAGAGGGUGAUCGGCCACACUGGAACUGAGACACGGUCCAGACUCCUACGGGAGGCAGCAGUAGGGAAUCUUCCGCAAUGGGCGAAAGCCUGGCGGAGCAACGCCGCGUGAGUGAUGAAGGUCUUCGGAUCGUAAAACUCUGUUAUUAGGGAAGAACAAAUGUGUAAGUAACUAUGCACGUCUUGACGGUACCUAAUCAGAAAGCCACGGCUAACUACGUG
This 497-nucleotide ribosomal RNA is filed under the name uncultured bacterium. RNAcentral's name for it is "partial 16S ribosomal RNA". It matches the Rfam family "Bacterial small subunit ribosomal RNA", at positions 28 to 507 of the family's 1533-position model. The record is from RNAcentral.